GAAGGGACCUAGCGUAGUUCGGAAUUACUGGGCUUAAAGAGUUCGUAGGUGGUUAAAAAAGUUGGUGGUGAAAUCCCAGAGCUUAACUCUGGAACUGCCAUCAAAACUUUUUAGCUAGAGUAUGAUAGAGGAAAGCAGAAUUUCUAGUGUAGAGGUGAAAUUCGUAGAUAUUAGAAAGAAUACCAAUUGCGAAGGCAGCUUUCUGGAUCAUUACUGACACUGAGGAACGAAAGCAUGGGUAGCGAAGAGGAUUAGAUACCCUCGUAGUCCAUGCCGUAAACGAUGUGUGUUAGACGUUGGAAAUUUAUUUUCAGUGUCGCAGCGAAAGCAAUAAACACACCGCCUGGGGAGUACGACCGCAAGGUUAAAACUCAAAUGAAUUGACGGGGACCCGCACAAGUAGUGGAGCAUGUGGUUUAAUUCGAAGAUACGCGCAGAACCUUACCAACACUUGACAUGUUCGUCGCGACUUUAAGAGAUUAAAGUUUUCGGUUCGGCCGGACGAAACACAGGUGCUGCAUGGCUGUCGUCAGCUCGUGUCGUGAGAUGUUGGGUUAAGUCCCGCAACGAGCGCAACCCUCACUUUUAGUUGCCAUCAUUUAGUUGGGCACUCUGAAAGAACUGCCAGUGAUAAGCUGGAGGAAGGUGGGGAUGACGUCAAGUCCUCAUGGCCCUUAUGUGUUGGGCUACACACGUGCUACAAUGAUAUCUACAACAGGAAGCAAGAUGGCAACAUUUAGCAAAUCCUAAAAAGAUAUCUCAGUUCGGAUUGCACUCUGCAACUCGAGUGCAUGAAGCUGGAAUUACUAGUAAUCGUGGAUCAGCGUGCCACGGUGAAUACGUUCCCGGGUCUU
This 854-nucleotide ribosomal RNA is filed under the name uncultured organism. Its description in RNAcentral is "bacterial SSU rRNA". It matches the Rfam family "Bacterial small subunit ribosomal RNA", at positions 527 to 1382 of the family's 1533-position model. The record is from RNAcentral.